ACGAACGCUGGCGGCAGGCCUAAUACAUGCAAGUCGAGCGGUCCCUUCGGGGGCAGCGGCGGACGGGUGAGUAACGCGUGGGAACGUGCCCUUUGGUACGGAACAACUGAGGGAAACUUCAGCUAAUACCGUAUGUGCCCCCCGGGGGAAAGAUUUAUCGCCAUUGGAGCGGCCCGCGUUAGAUUAGCUAGUUGGUAGGGUAAUGGCCUACCAAGGCGACGAUCUAUAGCUGGUCUGAGAGGAUGAUCAGCCACACUGGGACUGAGACACGGCCCAGACUCCUACGGGAGGCAGCAGUAGGGAAUCUUGCGCAAUGGGCGAAAGCCUGACGCAGCCAUGCCGCGUGAAUGAUGAAGGUCUUAGGAUUGUAAAAUUCUUUCACCGGGGACGAUAAUGACGGUACCCGGAGAAGAAGCCCCGGCUAACUUCGUGCCAGCAGCCGCCGUAA
This 448-nucleotide ribosomal RNA is filed under the name uncultured bacterium. RNAcentral's name for it is "partial 16S ribosomal RNA". It matches the Rfam family "Bacterial small subunit ribosomal RNA", at positions 29 to 523 of the family's 1533-position model. The record is from RNAcentral.